This 2796-nucleotide long non-coding RNA is filed under the name Homo sapiens (human). RNAcentral describes it as "HSALNT0383443". Lineage: Eukaryota; Metazoa; Chordata; Mammalia; Primates; Hominidae. The record is from RNAcentral.
GUCACAUUGUCUCAUCACAAAAUUGGAUUGCACAGAACUCAAAUGGAGAGGACGUUCAAACUCAGGAAUGUGGAGCACUCAUCAUCUGCUGUGGUCAAAGAGACAAUCUGUGAAGAAAGUGAACAAGGCAGAUGGAGAUAAAUUCAAAAACAGAGAUCCGAAAGGCUGCUAAGAGAGAAAGGAACAGGAAUCUCCCAGUUCCUGAGAGCCUCCCAGGCUUUCUCCCUCGAUGUUUGGAGUUUUAUGCCUAUGUAAUCAGUGCAGACAGCCGUUAAGUAAAUGAAGAGGCAACUAACAAUGUCAGAAAAGAGACCGGGCGGUUCCGGCUGACACUACCCUAAUCUUCCAGGACCCAUUAAAUGGUAGUUUCAACGCAUUACCUACCAUAACAUCCUUGAAUAUCACUGAUUUUAUUUGCAGUAUCAAACAUUCCAUUUCAUGCCCCAUUAACAGUGGGAGCCUGGGCUUUUUGACGCAGCUAAACAUUUUACUAACUACCUGGACUAAGUAACCAAUUAACUUUUGGAGACAAUACGGCCAAUUAAGCGCGAAAAGCAGAAAUAUCAGUGUCCGACAAGAUAUUGCCCUGGUUUUCACUGGCUUGGACUCUUCAGAGAGAAAAACAAAUCCAUGUAUAGAGAGAAAAUUUGGAAAACAGGCUUUUCCUAUCCGGAUGAACAGAGAUAAUUUGUGUCGAUGGAUGUUCUGUGAAGGCCUAUUGUGUCGAGCAGCGUAUUAAAACAUAAACAUGGCUCUUCCCCCAAGAAACUUACAUUUCAGUAAGGGAGCCUGGCCAAAAUGGAAAACUGCAAGGUUCAAAUCCUGGAGUGCAGAAGAAGCAUUAGGCAUUGACCCUGUGGCUUCCUAAUAGAUCCGCAAAGUGCUUUGUUCCUGGAAAUCAUCCGAUGAGUAGUUCAGUGCUAUUGUAUAUCUUGUUAGAGCAGCCGAAGUGCCACAAAAUGAACUAAAAUCUCCCUGCAGAGUUGCUGUAUCAUAUGCUGAGAACAUUCGGAACUUUCAACAAAUUCAUGUUACGAUCCUGGGUAGCCAUGGUUAAAUCUGUACAGGGGUUAAAUGAGAAAUAUGAGCCUGCUGUUAAGUGUCUUCUGAGAGUGACAAAGCUCUGGCCAUAAGGGAUGGGAGAGGAGGGAUUUCUUCUCAGCCUUCCAGCCCUUUCCAGCUGUAUCACAGACAGGAGACAUAAUGCAAAGGGGCUCAGACAUUGACUUCCUGGAUCUUUGCGGCCCCAGGCAUUGACCCCCUCUACCUGGCUUUUCCUACGCUGUAAAAUGAGGAUCCUCCUAUAUUAUGGAGUUUAUUGUGACAACUAAAUAGCUGAGAAGAAGGACAUCUCAUUUGUUUUAACUAUGCAGUUUCCUGUCUAUCUAUCUAUCUAUCCCAUCAAUCUAUCAAUCAAUCUAUCAAUCUGUCUAUCCCUAUCUAUCUAUCCAUCUAUCUAUCUAUAUCUGUCUAUAUCUAUCUAACAUUUAUCUAUCAUCUAUUCAUCUAUCAGCUAUCUUCUGUCUAUCAAUAUUUCAAUCAAUCUCUCUAUCCCUAUCAAUUAAUCUAUCUACCUACCUAUCAACUAUCCAUCUAUCUCUAUCAUCUAUCAUCUAUUCAUCUAUCAUUUAUCAUCUGUCAAUCCAUCUUCCUACUAUCUAUCAAAAGCAACACAUUUUCUUCCUGACUUUAAAAAUAUUUAAGUGGGCCGGGAGGAUGGCUCACGCCUGUAAUCCCAGCACUUUGGGAGGCCUAGGCGGGCGGAUCACGAGGUCAGGAGAUGGAGACCAUCCUGGCUAACAUGGUGAAACCCCGUCUCUACUAAAAAUACAAAAAAAAAAAAAAAUUAACCAGGCGUGGUGGAGGGCGCCUGUAGUCCCAGCUACUCGGGAGACUGAGGCAGGAGAAUGGGGAGAACCCGGGAGGCGGAGCUUGCAGUGAGCCGAGAUCAUGCCACUGCACUCCAGCCUGGGCGACAGAGCAAGACUCCAUCUCAAAAGAAACAAAAACAAAAACGUAAGUGAUACUCUGUCCACUCUUUUGAUUGAGGAGGUCUGAUUUUCAGGCUUUGGAUUUUAUUAUGUCUUCAAUAUAAUAAUUGUUCCAUGUAUCUCUCCUAAAUUGCCAUUUGAAAAACUGCUUUUCUGAAGUUUAAAGUGCACAUUUUGAUACAUCUUGACACAUAUAUACACCCAUGAAAUCAUCACCACAAUCAGGAUAGUAGAUCUAUCCAUUACCGCCAAGGUUUACUUGCACUCCUUUGAACUUUCUCCCCACUCCUCACCCCCUGCCUAUCCCCAAUCCUUAAGCAAUCACUGAUUUGCUUUCUGUCACUAUCAGUUAAUUUGAAUUUUUCAGAAAUGUAUAUAAAUAAAAUCAUUCGACGUGUAUGCUCUUUUUCUGUUCACCCGGUACAAUUUGAGAUUUAGCCAUGUUUUUGCAUGUGUCAAUAGUUUAUUUUUUUGUUGCUCAGUACUAAUCCAUUUUAUGGAUACAGAGAAAUGUAUUAAUGCAAUCCCAUAUUAAUAGGCAUUUGGGUUGUUUCCAGGUUUGGGCUGUUACAAAUAAAGCUGCUAUGAACAUUUUUGUGCAAGUCUUUUUAUGAGUAUAUUCCUUUAUUUCUUUUGGGUAAAUACCUAGAAGUGGGAUGGGUGUAUCACAUGGUACGUAAAUAUUUAAAUUUUUAAGAGAAUGCCAAACUGUUUUUCAAAGUAAUUGCACCAUUUUAUAUUCCCACCAGGAAUAUAUGAGAAUUCCAGUUCCUCUACAUACUCACAGACAUAUUGUAUGGUCAGU